RNAcentral lists this ribosomal RNA (242 nucleotides) under Clostridioides difficile. RNAcentral describes it as "partial 16S ribosomal RNA". It matches the Rfam family "Bacterial small subunit ribosomal RNA", at positions 1292 to 1533 of the family's 1533-position model. The record is from RNAcentral. Lineage: Bacteria; Bacillati; Bacillota; Clostridia; Peptostreptococcales; Peptostreptococcaceae.
UUCGGAUUGUAGGCUGAAACUCGCCUACAUGAAGCUGGAGUUACUAGUAAUCGCAGAUCAGAAUGCUGCGGUGAAUGCGUUCCCGGGUCUUGUACACACCGCCCGUCACACCACGGGAGUUGGAGACGCCCGAAGCCGAUUAUCUAACCUUUUGGAAGAAGUCGUCGAAGGUGGAAUCAAUAACUGGGGUGAAGUCGUAACAAGGUAGCCGUAUCGGAAGGUGCGGCUGGAUCACCUCCUUU